Humulus lupulus (European hop) is the source of this 107-nucleotide small nucleolar RNA. NCBI's taxonomy places the organism in Eukaryota, Viridiplantae, Streptophyta, Magnoliopsida, Rosales, Cannabaceae. The record is from RefSeq and is a predicted model, not a curated record.
AUUUUAUGGUGAAGGUACCUAGCAAAUAAUCUCUUGAACCACUCCCAAUACUCAUACAAUGACUCCUCAGUCUGUUGGCAAAUGCCACUAAUUUCCUUUCUUAUACU